CCACCACCAAAGCAUUCUCUGGUGUUGAAGGCCCUGCAAAGCAGCAUCGCGGUGGCGGAGCGUCGUUUGCGACGCCCAACACACAAAACAAGCGGUGAGUGCUUUGGGGUGGGGUGACUGCGUACCUUUUGUAUAAUGGGUCAGCGACUUAUAUUCUGUAGCAAGGUUAACCGAAUAGGGGAGCCGGAGGGAAACCGAGUCUUAAUUGGGCGUUAAGUUGCAGGGUAUAGACCCGAAACCCGGUGAUCUAGCCAUGGGCAGGUUGAAGGUUGGGUAACACUAACUGGAGGACCGAACCGACUAAUGUUGAAAAAUUAGCGGAUGACCUGUGGCUGGGGGUGAAAGGCCAAUCAAACCGGGAGAUAGCUGGUUCUCCCCGAAAGCUAUUUAGGUAGCGCCUCGUGAAUUCAUCUCCGGGGGUAGAGCACUGUUUCGGCUAGGGGGCCAUCCCGGCUUACCAACCCGAUGCAAACUGCGAAUACCGGAGAAUGUUAUCACGGGAGACACACGGCGGGUGCUAACGUCCGUCGUGAAGAGGGAAACAACCCAGACCGCCAGCUAAGGUCCCAAAGUCAUGGUUAAGUGGGAAACGAUGUGGGAAGGCCCAGACAGCCAGGAU
RNAcentral lists this ribosomal RNA (619 nucleotides) under Salmonella enterica subsp. enterica serovar Infantis. RNAcentral's name for it is "partial 23S ribosomal RNA". The stretch from base 88 to 619 matches the Rfam family "Bacterial large subunit ribosomal RNA", at positions 566 to 1099 of the family's 2925-position model. Lineage: Bacteria; Pseudomonadati; Pseudomonadota; Gammaproteobacteria; Enterobacterales; Enterobacteriaceae. The record is from RNAcentral.